AGAUGAUCGUGUUGUGUGAUCAGCAGUUAAUCGUCCAUAAAAUUCAAUAUUUUCCCUAUAAUUGAACCACCCUUAAAAAACCCCCCUGAAUAAACUAACAUGUGAGUGCCAGUGUGUUCCAGCCAGUGCGUACCAAAAAAACCCCUAAGAAACAAUAAGUACAAAGAGUGUGGGGGCUCUAUUGUUUAUGUUAUGAUAUAGGUUUUAAUUGAAAUCAGCAGUGCCCCCCUUAAUGACUAUUAAUAGUUGGCAUAUUAAGGCGUAAAUACGAUUAGAUUUAGGGCAAAUUGUGAAAUAAAGGAGCCACAAUAUGACAUCAAUUACAAUGGAAGAGUACGACCUGAUGAAGGAGUCAAAGUAUCGGAUGUAUGUGGCCGCAGUGGAUAAGGCUUUGAAGAAUUUCGAAUACACUUCUGAGUGGGCAGACCUUAUUUCCGCAUUGGGAAAGUUAAAUAAGGUGUUACUGAGCUACACAAAAUUCCAAGUGAUUCCCCGCAGGAUAAAAAUAAGUAAGCGGUUGGCACAGUGUAUGCACCCCGCUUUGCCCUCCGGGGUGCACCUGAAAGCCCUGGAGACUUAUGAUAUUAUAUUUAAGUGUAUGGGCACGGACAGGUUGGCCUGUGAACUUUUUAUUUAUAGCUCUGGUUUAUUCCCUCUGAUGAGCCAUGCGGCGAUGAACAUCCGUCCAAUGUUACUAACGAUCUACGAAACGCAUUUUGUUCCUUUAAGGGCGCGACUCAGACCGGCUCUAAGCGGUUUUUUAAGCGGCAUUUUACCGGGUUUAGACACCGGUACGGACCAUUUCGAUAGGACCAAUAAGUUACUAGAAGACGUAUGCGAGGGCGUAGACCCUCACUACUUUUACACGUGCAUCUGGCAAUGUGUGGCCAACAACAGUCCGGUGAGACUGCCGGCUGUAGUGUACGUUUACGCGCACUACAGCCGGAAAAUCCCCAUGGAAGAUCAGCUGUAUCUAAUGGGGCACGAUAUAGGGCUAAUGGUUUCUGGAUUGUGUGCGGCCGUCCAGGAUGCCAACAUCCUGGUCCAGAGGUCCGCCCUGGACCUGCUCAUGGUGUGUUUUCCCAUGCAAAAUAAGCAACUUUUGUACGCGGAUAUGGUCAGGCUGGUCACUGCCGCCCUCUCGACCAUUUUACGAAGGGAUAUGUCCCUUAAUAGACGUCUUUACUCGUGGCUUCUGGAAACCGAGUCCAAAUUACCGCUGGUCCAGAUUGACGGCGAACAAUCCGACGAAUUCCCGUCCACCCAGACCCACUCUAUCGCCUACGAUUUAUUAAACGAUGCAGUGAAGGAUAUUUUGAAAAAGUCCAGUUCGAAUGUCCCUCUGGACGUGAAAUGUUACCGUUUGCUCACCUCGUUAUUCGAAAAAUCCCAGAUAGGUCCCGUAAUCUUGGACGGGAUUUUAUACGACGUGUUCAGGACGUUGUACUUGUCCUGUUUGAGUUUGCAAAAGUACAAAAACCAAACGGUGAGGUGCGUGUCCUUCAACGGGGAUCUGAGCAGCUUGAAGGGCAACGACGGGGGGUUGAACAAACAGUUCGUAUCGAAGAACUGUCAGGAAUUAGUGAAAAACGCCAAUUUACUGUUUAACACCCUGCAAAGCUACUAUAUCUGGAGCUACAUCGAGAAAUUAUACGAGGAAGCGGCUAAGAACAUCAAAAAAUUCAAAUACCGCGACCGGUGUCAAGUAAACGAGAUCGGAAGCGGCCCCCCGUUCGUAUUGGAGCUGUGCAUUUUGACCGAUUUCCUACUGGACAUAAUCCCUAUUGAAUCAUACGCGGAGAGCACCUCCAACAUCCUCCCCAGUCUGUUUAAUAAAAUAAUUAAGUCCCUCACCGCCCACGUAUCCGACCUUAACCACUACGAAAUACUGAAGAGUUUGGAGCUUUGCACGAAGAUUUUAACGAAAAUUCAACCGAUCACCAUGACUCAGAUGCAAAAGAAGUUGGAGGAGGAAGAGGAGGAGGAGCAGCGGGUCGCUAAUCAACUCCCGGAGGUUCAGAAAAGUGAGGAAACUGGUGGGGAGGAACCGGGGCCGAGGCCUAUAGAGAAAAGCAAAUCGGAUUCUAAGAUCAGUGAGAAUUUAAAUGGGUUCGUUGAUAAGCACGAGUUGACUGUCGAGGAGGGAACCAGGGAAAGGUCCUACAGUAACCAAUUUCCCAAAAAGAAAGAGAAAACGAGCCCGCGCAUCGAAAAAAAGUCAAAAAACAAGAAAUCCAAGUCGAGUUCGAAGCUGUACGACCUAAAAAACGAGGAAACCGACUCGAUUUCGUCGUCGCAACUGUCCACCCCGGAGGAUAGUUUCGAAACAUCUUCGAAAGAGGGCACCCCGUUGGCCCUCGCUCCCGCCAAAUACGAAAACAAGCACUUUCUGAAGUGUUUGGAGGAGUACAAGAGGUUUUUUGUGUCGUUCGUUAAGCACAAAAUCCUCCCGGGGGUGGACGUAAAGGCCUCCUUUAAAAAGCUUGUGUGCGACAAGGACGAGCGUACGAAACUCUUACAGCGGCUGUUGGAUGAACGUUUAACCAACAAACAGUCCGAGUUCACCCCGGUGGACUAUACGAAAACCUUAAAAAGGAAAAAGAACGGUUCCUACAGCCUCCCCAUAGACUCGAACUCAAUUUACGAAACUUGCAUGAGCGUGGCAUGCGCGAUUCUUUUGGAGUUUUGCGCUUUUCCCAAUUUGACUAAUCAUAGCGAGAAUAAAGUCCCUAAUUGGUUGGAGGCUCUCCUGGUGUCCGCUUGCUCAAGAGAGAGUUCCAGGGAGAUCCAACUGACCGCCAUGAGCACCCUUCUGGAGAUUUUCAGCCUCUCAAAGAACCAACAUUACCUAAAAAAAUAUGAGAGCGAGAAGAACAUCAUCAUCACCGGGAUCCUGGACCAUCGCCACGUCACUUUUGUAGAGGAGGACAUGAUCGCCAUCGAGGAAAUGUCCGGGAUCCUUUGGGCCCUUUUGGGCACCGUGAAAAACCAAAACCAACUGAUGGUUUGCGUGACCCUUUUGUAUCAGAUCCAUAACACUUUCGACACGAAAAUGUUCGUGGAGCAAGUGAUCGGGCGAUAUUUGUCGCGCGACAUCGUCGACGUGAAUUAUAUCAAGCAGUUUUGUUUGCUGUGGCAUUUGGGGAGGGAUUUGAACAUUAAGGUGCCCGCCCAUAAGCAGAGCUGCAGGAACUUCGACAGGUCUUUGUUGAAGAUCCUGGAUAUGCUGGAAAACGGGGAGAAACCGGCCGUGCAACUGUUGGCCGAGUCGUUUUUGACCCACAGUCUGUUACAAAACGACAUUUGCAGGAUUCUAAAUCCGAUUUUGUUGCAACUGUUGGCCAGUAAUACGGCCAGGGUGUCCAUAAGGCACGUGAAUAUCCAGGAUGGGUAUGUGAACUGUGAGCAAACUGACCAGGGCGGUCAGAUAUUGGAGGAAUCUCAGGCCAAGAAGAUUUACGCGGUCAGUAACGUUAACGGCAAUGUGAUGUACCACAUGACCGAGAGCCCCCCCGCAAAAUCCCCGAAAAAGCGCUGGUUCGCCUUUUCGAAAUCCGACAAAAAAUACUCGUCCGCUAUAAACAUGACAACCAGCCUAAACGAGGACAGCAACAGCAUCGUAACGAAGAAAAACAAAGACUUUAAAGGGUACGACGUCUCCCCCAAUUUGGAAAAACCCUCCAAAGGAAACGUGAAACUCAUUAUCAACCCUCUGAGCAGCAAAGAAAUCUACCCGGUGGGGCUGGACGGGUCUUAUGCCAGAAGGAGCUCGCAUAGUUCCUUGGACAGCUAUUCUAGCAACGACAACACUAUUAGUAACGACGAUUCUAUCGAUAGGAAAGUUUUUGACUCUCUAGCAGCUGAAAGCGGUUAUGACUCUCUGAAACAUAAUAAUAAACAAACUGAAUAUAUCAACGCCUUGGUGGAUAACGGUAAAAAAGCCUUGCUAGAAAGCAUGGAGCCAAUAUCCAACGGUAUUCGUCCAGGUUUACUGGCGAAAUCCCACAGUUUUGACGAGAAAAUCACCGAGACCACCAACACCGAAAGUUCUUUGGUGCAAAGUUGGUCCUACUGCAUCUCCGACUCGGCAAACCUCCAUGGGGAGCUGGAGUUUAGUAAAAGUGCCGAAGACUUCUUCAGAGGCAAAUAUGAAGAGUACGACAUAGUCACCGGAAUAUUAAAUAAAAUAAUCGACGAUGUGUGUUCGAGGGUGGAGCAAGACCAGACCACCCCCCAGAGACCGACGGAGUUGGACCUGAAAACGAAAAUAAACACCUCGAACUCGAAGAAUUUCGUACUUUACCCCAUACACUCGCACAUGUGCCUUUACUACGAAAUGUUCGACUCUGGCCGCAUAAUUUACGCCCUACGUACGUUAAAACGGUGCGUCCUGUGCCACCCCAAGUUGUUUAUUAAGUGCACCGCCACCAGUGGGAUAAAAAAUCUGAAAAACAAUGAGAUUUUGUAUCUGUUGGCCAGGCAUCGGAAGAGUUUGUUCGGGCAGGGGUUCGGGGGCGAGGUGGGGCAGGAGCACUUGAACUUUUUCAGGGGUUACAUGUUUCUGGACGUCGUGUUGUCGAUUUGUAUGAAUUAUGCGAGGACGUUUUUUCCCUUUUUGGCCGAGUUUAGGAGGGAGGACGUUGCGGGUGCUGCUUGGAAGGACGAAACCAUAACCGAGGAACUCGAAAACAACAUAAAAAUCCAACUGGAAUCCUUGGAAAUCCUACACAUAAUCGUCGAAAACCUAAUAUCUAUCAUCGAGGAGAACAACAACAAAGGCUUCUCCAGCUACAUCGCCGACCUCCUGGUCAAGUGCAAAAUCCAAAAAAUCCUCCUCCACUGUCUCCUCACCUCCGUAAGGGACUUCGACAGCGACAUGACCUUCGCCGAAGACAUUCUGCUCUUCAACAACUUCCAGCUGUGCAACGCGGAAAACAGGCUCGGGGAGCACGUGGAGGCUUUCCAGAUCCAACUUUUACGGCUCAUCCACUCCCUGAUUAUCCUGGAACAUUUGGUGUUUCCCAGUGCGAAAACCAGCACCGGCCAAACCACCCCGGAGGUCUCUAGCGGUUCUUAUAUUAACGAACAUCUGAAUUAUAAGCCUCUAGUGCUGAUUCCUAAGCAGCAAAUCUUCUUGUCGGCCAUCCUGAGCGCUUUGAGGAACGAUAAUAUGCGCGGGAUGCACGAAAAGUGGCUCAAUAUGGUCACCAGUUGCUUACCGUACUUUGGGAAUAAUUUGAGGCAGAUUUCUAUCAGCGUCAUACAUCAAAUUUGCAAUAAUAUCGAAGAUCUUGCGUCGAACUACAAGAACGCUUCACUGGACGAAUCCGAGCUGAGUUCCGACUACGCGGUCACACAACUGGAAUCUUUAACGAUUCUUUGCCACUAUUGUCUGUUGGACGCGUCUCAGACCGCCAAUCAGAACGUGCCGCCCGCCUCUACGAGUACCACCCCCCAAAUGGUGAACCCCGGGGAGAUUUUGAACAAUUUGGUCAAUGUCUUUUUUUCCCCGUUGAGUACCGACAUGAAUUUUUCCUCUAAGCAUACGUCGGAUCAUUAUCAGAACGCCAGGAAGACCAUUUUGAGCCACAUGCCCAGGAUUAUUUCCAGUGUGGCCAAGCUGUGGCAAACGGUCGUGGGCAUGGAAAACGACUACAGCAGCGUAUACGGCAAUUCGAAAACAGUAAAGCAGCAACUUUUAGAGUUCCUAAGCCCGAUAGCGGUACACCACGGCGCCAGUUUCUUGGCUGCCGUGGCUGUAGCCUGGUACGAGCGAAGGAGUCAGCUAAGCAUUAAGGCUGUGCUGCCAGAGCCAAACGUAGGCCAAAACAAUUUGGUUUACUUAAUUUCCGCCAUCAGGGUUAUCCCUUUGGAUAAUUUAGUGCAAACGGUCACCGCGGUUAUUAAAAACCCUCCUCCUUGCGAGGGUCUAAGCGCCGACAUCUGCCUGGACGUUUCCGUACUAGAACUGUUUUAUUGUUAUAUGCGUAACGCCUCCGCCACCCAACUGUCGGAGGCCUGGGGCUCCCUACUGUCCUUAAUAAGGGAAGUAAACUCGCUCAGUGCGUCCGCGCAGUUCUUACUGGCGGCCAUAUUGCACGAAAUGAUGAUCAAGUGCUGCCCCCUGGAGGAGCGGAAAGAUCAAAAGGAUUUACAAGAUGUCACCGCAAAAUUGAUCGAUUGCGUGUCGCAAGUGUGCGGUUCCUGUUUGGAACAAACCACGUGGCUCAGGCGGAAUUUCGCGGUGAGGGAACAGGAGGAGGACGCCACCCCGGAAAACAGCAUUUCCAGUGGCGUUCCCAGCGAUUUCCUGCUGACGUCCAGUCACAGCGUCCAGGCCCAACUGGUUCUAGCGGAAAUUCUAUCCCCGAUCCUGGACAUUUGCUUCGGGUCCUCGGAAAAGGACAAGGUGAACAACAUCCUCGCCUCCCUGAUGUGCAACAUCGUCCCGUAUUUGAAAACUCACACCGUGAAAAACAUGCCGAGUUUCAACGCUUGCUCGAAACUCUUGUCCAGCCUCAGCAGCUACCAGUACACCCGGAAAGCCUGGAAAAAGGACGUGUUCGACUUGCUACUGGACAACGCGCUGUUCCAGAUGGACCAUUCCUGUUUGAAGUAUUGGCGGGUGAUCGUUGAUAAUUUAAUGACGCACGACAAUACGACUUUUAGGGAUUUGAUGAAUCGGGUGUCCAUGACUCAGAGUGGCACUCUGGGGAUAUUCUCGUCCAGGGAGCAGGAGUACGAGCAGCGCGCGCAACUUUUAAAACGGCUGGCCUAUGUGAUAUUUUGCAGCGAGAUCGACCAGUAUGCCAAGUAUAUGCCGGAAAUUCAGGAGCAAUUGACAUCAAGUCUAAGACUGAACGUGCCGAGCAUCCAGGCGCAAGUUUUCAUGUGCUUCCGGGUGAUCCUGAUCAGGAUGAGCCCCCUGCACGUGACCAGCCUGUGGCCAAUCAUAAUAAGCGAAAUGUUGCAAGUGUUCCUGCAAAUCGAACAGGAGUUGAGCAACGAUACGGAGGCCUUCAGCUCUUACAUAAAACUGAUGUCCACCCUGGACUCGAGCUGGUCAACCAAUAGCAGCAACGGCCUACACGCCCUGGGCCACCCCCACUGGCUCCGUCUCCAACUAUCCACGGCAAAACUAUUAGACUUAGCCCUCCUGCUGCCAGCCACCACCUUACCUCAGUUCCAAAUGUAUAGGUGGGCCUUCGUGGGCGACGACUUGCACCCAAAAUCCGUUCCCGCGGACCUCCAGGGAACCUCCAAAAUCUCCUUUACCCCCCACGUGGUCCGGAUCGCCGAAAUUAUGGAUCGUAAGUUCGCGCAGGCCGAGUCGCAGAUCGACAUUUUGCCGAUGAAGAGGAACGAGCUGUUGCUCACGAUGAACUCGAUCGGGCAGCUGAAGGAUCUGCACAGUUUCUUUAAGACGUUGAGCUCGUGCUCGAACAGGCACAGGACCGAGUGCACCAGGUCGGUGGCGAGCGAUAAUUUGUUCGCCGAUCGACAGAGCGAUAAGAAGUUGGACCUGAUCUUGGAGAAGAUCGAUAAGGUGGUCGAGGCGGAUUUUCUCGAUAAAAUUGCCCGGUAGAAGUGAGUUUUUUUGGUUUGUUGUUAUUGGGGGAGGUCGAUGUGAGGCUCGUUUAGUUGACGGGGGUGUUUUCGGUUUGGGUCAGAUGUCGAGGAGGGUGAGCUGAGGUAUGAGUAUGUAAUGAGUAAAAAUGAUAAUGGGAGUGCGGAUUAAAAGGCAGGUUUUAGCUUCCCAACAUAGUUGAAGCCUAUUAUAAAAUCAAGAUUACUUAGGCUACUGGUAUAAUUCAUUUACAGCAGGUAAGGUAAUCCCUGAGGAUGUAUUUGGUGUUUCUAUAACUGAAAAAGUUUUUGAGUUAGAGCUAUGUUUGUAUAAUAGAGUCCCAACCCAGGCAAGACAUAUGAAGAAAUGUUCAUUAUAGGCAGACAAUUUUUACUGUAGUUCAAAAACUAUUUGAGUAAUAUUUAUAAUUCUUUCACAGCAAGAUCAAGUAAUCCCUAAGGAUGGAUUUGGUGUACGAAACGCCUUGCUAACACAAAAAUUCUACCAGAUAUAGCCAUUUUGGUAGAAGUCACAUUAUUUUCAAUGUUUCAACUUCUCACGUAUUAUACUUUUUUUACUAAUCUAGAGCGUUUUUUAACAAAUAUUUUGAUGUAUGAACGAUUUCUGUAGCUCAAAGGGUUUUUGAGUUAAAGCUAAGUUUGUACAGCAAAGUCCCUACCCAGGCAAGAGAGAAUAAAAAUUUCAUUAUAGGCAGACAAUCUUGAUUGUAGUUUAAAAAGUACUUAAGUCAUUUUUAUAAUUUUUUCACAGCAGGAUCAGGUAAUCGCUGAGGAUGGAUUUGGUGUACGAAACGUCUUGCUAGCACAAAAAUUCUACCAGAUGCAGCCAUUUUGGUAGAAGUACAUUGUAAGGUCACAUUAUUUUCAAAGUUUCAACUUCUCACGUAAAUAUCUCGACAUUAAUGGAGGCAUUUAAUUUGAACUUUUUUUACUAAUCUAGAGCGUUUUUCAACAAAUAUUUUGAUGUAUGAACGAUUUCUGUAGCUCAAAGGGUUUUUGAGUUAAAGCUAAGUUUGUACAGCAGAGUCCCAGCCCAGGCAAAAGAGAAUAAAAUUUUCAUCAUAUGCAGACAAUUUUGACUGUAGUUCAAAAACUACUUAAGUAAUUUUUAUAAUUCUUUCACAGCAGGAUCAAGUAAUCCCUGAGGAUGGAUUUGGUGUACGAAACGUCUUGCUAGCACAAAAAUUCUACCAGAUACAGCCAUUUUGGUAGAAGUACAUUGUAUGGUCACAUUAUUUUCAAAGUUUCAACUUCUCACAAAUAUAUCUCUACAUUAAUGGAGGCAUUUAACUUGAACUUUUUUUACUCAUCUAGAGCGUUUUUCAACAAAAAUUUUGAUGUAUGAACGAUUUCUGUAGCUCAAAGGGUUUUUGAGUUAAAGCUAAGUUUUUACAGCAGAGUCCCAACCCAGGCAAAAGAGAAGAAAUUUUCAUCAUAUGCAGACAAUUUUGACUGUAGUUCAAAAACUACUUAAGUAAUUUUUAAUAAUUCUUUCACAGCAAGAUCAAGUAAUCCCUGUGGAUGGAUUUGGUGUACGAAACGUCUUGCUAGCGUAAAAAUUCUACCAGUUACAGCCAUUUUGGUAGAAGUCACAUUAUUUUCAAAGUUUUAACUUCUCACGUAGAUAUCUCGACAUUAAUGGAGGCAUUUAAUUGGAACUUUUUUUACUAAUCUAGAGCGUUUUUCAACAAAAAUUUUGAUGUAUGAACGAAUUCUGUAACUCAAUGGGUUUUUGAGUUAAAGCUAAGUUUGUACAGCAGAGUCCCAACCCAGGCAAAAGAGAAUGAAAUUUUCAUCAUAUGCAGAAAAUUUUGACUGUAGUUCAAAAACUACUUAAGUAAUUUUUAUAAUUCUUUCACAGCAAGAUCAAGUAAUCCCUGUGGAUGGAUUUGAUGUAAGAAAUGUCUUGCUGGCACAAAUAUUCUACCAGAUACAACCAUUUUGGUAGAAGUCACAUUAUUUUCAAAGUUCUCAACUUCUUACGUAGAUAUUUGUACAAUAUUUGAGGCAUUUCUAUAACUCAAAAUGUUUUUUCCACAAGGUUAUUCUUACAAAAUCUAAUAGUUCCACUGAUUCACUUCUUUGAAGACCAAAUAUGAUAACACUCUUCUUCCUAAGACGUCGUUCUAGUGCACGAUUAUUUAAAUUUAGUUGAUCACACUCUUUGUCGGUUUAAUUAACUGGUGUUGUUGUUCUUCGACGCUGAUUGCAAGAGUCGAGAUCUGUACAUCAAUAUGGCUUUUCAGAGUAUUUGUAAUACGAUCUUCAGUUUGGCUGUCAUAAUUUUACACAAAUAUCAUCAUUACUUAGUUAAGACAUGUCAGACAAUAAGUAAGUAUUUAGCAAACAAGGGAAAAGAAAAAAAUCCUAAGCUGGAGUUUAGCAACAUGUAAUUAAGAAGCAAAAAAUGACUAGACAGGAAGUAACACAGGGAUACUCGCUUCUCCCCCUGGGGCUUAUCAGGGCAUUUAAGCACACAGAAACACAGGCAGUCCCCGGAUAAGGUUGGGAUACACUAAAAUAUAAUUAACGACUUCUUAGUUGGGGGUUUUUGAAUGAGCCUUUCAGCUCCUAUAGAAGAGAAAUGGAUCCAAGAAGCAAAAUUUACUGGAAAAUUGACCGAAACUCCCUUGAAUUCAAUCAGAAUUUACCCUAAAACCCCCACUCGCAAACCCUUUUUCUGUGUUACACAUCUGACCCAAAAACUCCUCAAAAAACAAAUUUUAUUCGCGACCACAUUCGUGUAUCGAGGUUGUGACUUAAAUUACUCGCUUAAAAACCCAUAAAACGUUAGAAAUAAAUAAAAGCGUCGUAUACAGGGUAUAUUUUAACAAAAAAAAAACUCGCUUUCCUGCUUCGGGACGAGGUCUAGGUCGGUUUUUGGCCUAAGAACGUCAUUUGCUGCCGGUAAAGUUGUUUCCUUUGUUCGCCCAAAGAAAUCAGUAUUAAAUGCGGUGCAUUUAACAGUAGUAAUGUCAAUGAUAUAGCGUAAAUAAAGGUACCUUUGGCAAAAGUAUCUUUGGCGGCCAUUUUGUUGUUGUUGUUGGCACGACAAAAUGGCGGCCAGUACUUUAGUUUUUAGGGCUCCAGUGUGUAUACUAUCCUGUUAUUGUUGUGUUAAAGUUUAUUAAUUGAUUUUUUAAUGGAUUAAGUCUUAAAUAUGCUUUUUUCUUAUUUAUUUUUGAGUAUUUAGUCCCUAACAACGUAGGUGCAAUUUUUCAUGAUAAGCAUUUAAUAUUAUAUAUGAUAAAAUGUGAUUUUAUAUUGUGAUGUUAAUACAAAAUAUAAGGGGCUUUAUUGCCCUCCGUUAUUAUUUGUUGUCUAUAUGAUUACUUCGAAUAAAUAAAAGUGCGAUUUUUUUUU
This 10950-nucleotide unclassified non-coding RNA is filed under the name Anthonomus grandis grandis. RNAcentral's name for it is "protein dopey-1 homolog". Lineage: Eukaryota; Metazoa; Arthropoda; Insecta; Coleoptera; Curculionidae. The record is from RNAcentral.